Molecule: ribosomal RNA, 292 nt
Filed under: uncultured bacterium
Lineage: Bacteria
Description: partial 16S ribosomal RNA
Rfam family: Bacterial small subunit ribosomal RNA
Source: RNAcentral
GUUUCAGCAGCCGCGGUAAGACAGAGGUCCCGAGCGUUAGGCGGAAUCACUGGGCUUAAAGCGUGUGUAGGCGGACUUCUAAGUACCUUGUGAAAUCCCACGGCUUAACCGUGGAACUGCUUGGUAUACUGGUUGUCUUGGGCCAUCUAGGGGCUACUGGAACAAACGGUGGAGCGGUGAAAUGCGUAGAUAUCGUUUGGAACGCCAAUGGUGAAAACAAGUAGCUGGGGAUGUGCCGACGCUGAGACACGAAAGCCAGGGGAGCGAACGGGAUUAGAUACCCGGGUAGUCC